Non-coding RNA from Ciona intestinalis (vase tunicate), 369 nucleotides. NCBI's taxonomy places the organism in Eukaryota, Metazoa, Chordata, Ascidiacea, Phlebobranchia, Cionidae. The record is from RefSeq and is a predicted model, not a curated record.
GCAUAGGUUACACUAUUUGCUGCUGUGAAAGAGUACUAUUACUAACAACCUAAAGAUUCUACACUAAAUGGUUUUAAAGAUAAUAAUAAAGGUGGCCUCUUAAUAAAAGAUGCAAUUGCAACCACAUCUUUAGCAUAUUUUGCAACAUCCUGUUCAAAGUCAUCCAUCCAGAUAAUCUUAAAUCUCUUCUCGAAAAUGUUAACAAAGAAAUCGGUAACACCAUUCCAUCUCCCAGCAGAACGAUCAAGUGCAAUUACACAGACUCCUAACCCAAAGUACAAGCUAUGAAGCAUAAAUGUGUUAAAGCCUCCGCAAGAACUACAUUUUAUUGCACAUUUGACGCACUAAUGAAAAUAAAAGCAUGAAAGC